AUGGUGGAGGACAAAGAGAAAAGGUCUCGUUCCAUCAUUCUCACCCCUCUCACUGUCGCGAUCGGUAGCUUCCUAGGCGACCGCCGAACACUCUGCUCCCCACCACCUUGCCGCCCCAAACUCUUCUCCACCGCACCGUCCAACAUUCUCCUCCACCACAUCAAUCUCCCAUCUCGCCGCGCCUUAACCAACCUCUUCUCCGGAAUUAAUCGGUUUGAGGUUGUUACUGUCUCAAAGUAA
Molecule: non-coding RNA, 240 nt
Organism: Vicia faba (fava bean)
Lineage: Eukaryota; Viridiplantae; Streptophyta; Magnoliopsida; Fabales; Fabaceae
Source: the annotation of a GenBank genome assembly